Molecule: non-coding RNA, 768 nt
Filed under: Phaedon tumidulus
Lineage: Eukaryota; Metazoa; Arthropoda; Insecta; Coleoptera; Chrysomelidae
Source: RNAcentral
AUAAAGUUUUAUUUAAGCUUAAAAAUUAGGUAUAUUUUUAAUUUAAAUGUGAAUUUUAGUAUUUUUUUAUUUUUAAAUAGAAUAAAUUUAUUAUGCAUUAAAUAGUAUUAAAUAUUAAAGAAAUUUAGAUUUAGUAAUAAUUUAAGUAUUAACUUAAUUUGUGCCAGCAGUUGCGGUUAUACAAAUAAUACAAUUUAAUUAUUUUAGUUUUAAUAAAUUAAUAUUAAUAUAUUUUAUAUAAUAAUUCAUUAAGUGAAAUUUUGAAUUUUUACAAGAUUGUUAUUUGUUAAUGAAUUAAGAAAUUUUAAAUAUAAACUAGGAUUAGAUACCCUAUUAUUUAAAAUGUAAUUUUAAAAACUAAAUUAGUAAUAGUUAUGUUCUUGAAAAUUAAAGAUUUUGGCGGUAUUUUAGUCUAUUCAGAGGAACCUGUUCUAUAAUUGAUAAUCCACGAUUUAAUUUACUUUUUUUAUAUUAAUUUAUAUAUCGUCGUAGUUUGAAUAUUUUAUAAGAAUUUUAAUAUUCAAGAUUUAUAAUAAUAAAAAAAAUCAGAUCAAGGUGUAGUUUAUAAAAAAGAAGAAAUGGGUUACUUUAAUUAAAAUUUAAGAUAAUUAUUAUUAUAAUAAUUUGAAUUAGGAUUUGAUAGUAAUUUUAAUUAAUUAAUUAAAAUGAUUUUAGCUCUAAAAUAUGUACAUAUCGCCCGUCGCUUUCAUUUUAAUGUGAAAUAAGUCGUAACAAAGUAGAUUUACUGGAAAGUGAAUCUAGAUACAA